UGGGGAAUUUUGCACAAUGGGGGAAACCCUGAUGCAGCGACGCCGCGUGAUUAGAAGGCCUUCGGGUUGUAAAAAUCUUUUCUAUGGGAAGAAAAUGACAGUACCAUAGGAAUAAGGACCGGCUAAUUACGUGCCAGCAGCCGCGGUAAUACGUAAGGUCCGAGCGUUGUCCGGAAUCAUUGGGCGUAAAGGGUACGUAGGCGGGUAAGCAAGUUAGAAGUGAAAUCCUAUAGCUCAACUAUAGUAAGCUUUUAAAACUGCUCAUCUUUAGGGAUGGAAAGGAAAGUGGAAUUCCUAGUGUAGCGGUGAAAUUCGGAGAUAUUAGGGGGAAUACCGGUGGGGAAGGGGACUUUCUGGCCAUAAACUGACGCUGAGGUACGAAAGCGUGGGUAGCAAACAGG
This 401-nucleotide ribosomal RNA is filed under the name bacterium. RNAcentral describes it as "partial 16S ribosomal RNA". It matches the Rfam family "Bacterial small subunit ribosomal RNA", at positions 355 to 776 of the family's 1533-position model. The record is from RNAcentral.